Ictalurus punctatus (channel catfish) is the source of this 5067-nucleotide long non-coding RNA. The record is from Ensembl. NCBI's taxonomy places the organism in Eukaryota, Metazoa, Chordata, Actinopteri, Siluriformes, Ictaluridae.
UGAUCAUGUCCGCAUAUAUACCGCGCGCCUCCCAGUACACAACGCGGAAGAGUAAUACUUUAAAGUUAGUUUAGGGCGUGGCGUAGUUAUAGUCACGGGCCAUGGUUAGAGUGAAUUCGCGCUGGAUUAUCCGCUUCCAGUCCCUCGUCAUAGUUCGUUUUGUUUAUCGACCCUGUUUUCCGUGACCACGACCUAGAUUCCUGCCUUGCCCCGUGUAUGCCUGUUUGCCAGUCGCCUGACCUCUUGCAUGUUUAUGGAUUACGUUUUGGAUUUGUCUGCCUGUCUCUUUCAAAUAAACAACUGUUCAUCCUGCACUUGUAUCCGUCCUAUCUCCGCUCCGUCACGAUUCGUGACCGUGUCGGUCAGUUACGCAGGAGUCUCUAAGAUCGCGGCUGUGUAUCAGAGCGCUGUGUAAUUUUAGGCGAUUCGUCGAUUCUCGUUUUAAAGCACCGCUGAAGCUUUAUAUUUUAUUUUGGAGAAUACUUCAAAGAGGAGAUGGCCGUCUAACGUAACAGUGAUGCUGACAUUGUGUCUAUCCCGGACAUCGUAGACGAAAUCAAUCUUCUGAACAAGGCAAGCGGGUCGAACACAGAAGUCCCGCGAGUCAGGUUGGAAAACCCCGUGUUGGGCUUGUCAAAUCUUGUAAACAAGAUUGCUGCACCCGAGUUCAAAACUAGUGCUGCGGUUUCUACUGAACGCGGUAUACCAACGAGCUCUGGAAAGGCCAAGCGUAGAACAGUCGCUCAGGUCCACAGCGCGGGUGUCGCGACGUCUAAACGUAAACGAUAGACAGACGGUAUGUAGCAUGUGUAUAAAAUUUUUUUUUUUUUACUUUUUUUUUUUAAAUAUAUAAAGUUUCAUCAUCCUAAUUCGUGCCGGUAUCCUAAGCAAUGUUUUGUGGGGUCAACCCCCCCCAAGAGAGUCAGCUGUGAAUGAACCGAGCGCUAUAGACUCUUGUUUGAACUGGAAUCAGGACCUGUUUGAUUCGUGGCACGCUUGAGUAUUUACCCCGGUUCCUGGAGACGAUCUGCCUUCAAAACAAGAAGCAUUUGGUCGCGAGGCUACUGUUAUAGACAAUAACAGAGACUCGGUGGAUGUGAUACGAACCGUCUGGGCAUUAUAGAAAAUAAUCAGCGUCUUUAUAAUCAAAGUGUUGUGGAAUCAUUACAAAACCAUAUCACACAUAAACAAAUCAUAGCAACCCAGAAGCUUCUUGCUGGGGAGAUUCGACACGUUGAUCACAAUCAACACCUGACGACAAAAUUGUUAAACAGUUUGCACAGCUGGUUAAAAACAAGAAACUCGGGUGAGUUGUACAAUAAGUAUUUUCUAUGUGUGUGUUUAUUUGCUGGUUCGUAUCUGUUUUACUGUAUGUGAGGAGUGUUGGUUUUUUUUUUUUUUUUUUUUUUAAACUAGGAUUUGUUUCAAUGUAAAAAUGUCAAAGCGGUGUGGUGAAAACUCGUGUAAUCUGGGAGCAGCAGUUAAAUUUAGAUGUGACAACGAUGGUCUGUGUACUUUUGAACAGCGUGGCAAUACAGAGACGUUACAGGGUUUAAUUCGGACAAUGGAGGAUCUGAAUAGACAGCAGUCUACCACCGAUACUUUGUUGGACUUAUUAAGCAGUGUUAGAUCAAUGGCUGAGGUUCAAACAGAACCAAUGCUUAAUUCGUUGUUAGACAGCGAUUCAAAUUCACAGCAGGUGAGGUGGGGGUCAGACAGUCAAUCGUUUAAUCCUUUGGAGCCAAAUUUUGGGUUAUCCGAAGCCGCUAUUGAGUCUGUCGUAAGAGAGGGUGGGUCUGUUGGUGGUUAUACGGUGGUACCGAGAUGCCGAUUUAAUGGAUUGGAGAUACAGCGUCGUAUAAACAUGCGUGUGAUAACCGCGCCAGACCUGGCUGCGUACACUCUCUGCAUGAUAUCAUGUCUGAAAUAGUGUCGUUUUCCAGACUGCUGGCCGGUGAUGGGGGGGCUUAAUCAACAUUACAGUGAGAGGCCCUAGUCUACCCUCUGAUGUUAACGCUGUCUUGUCACCUGACAACGAUUGCGAUUUGCACAUAUUCACACAACAACUUGAGAACAUUAUGCAAAGUAAUUCUGACGUAAGGGCUGAUGAAUGUCUAGAUCUGAACGUGUCUAUAGCUCGCGGUAAACACAGUGGUGCUUAUCGAAAGAUACGUGAUUUAGCUCAUAAUGAGGUGAUUGCCAGAAACAGAAUCAAUCUGUUAUGCCUCAACAACAUAUCUAACAAUCUGUUUUGCAGUCUCUGUCCCAUUUUCUACAACCGCAUGCGCCAUGUAGUGAUCUGGAGUCGUUAGCUGCGUCUCUACAGAAAACUGCAGGGUAUUCAUUACAGCAAAAGAUAGGGUUUAAUGACAUCACACGGUUUGAACAGUUGUUACUUGUUAAAAUAGUGGUGUUCCAUAGAACAUCUUCUGGUCUGUUGGAAUACUUUACGAACAAUGACAAGCCUCAUAAUAAGACUGUGUUCUUGUAUCUACACAACGAACAUUAUUUCUUGAUUAAGAACCUAAAAGCAUUCAUUGGUACACCGUAUGUGUGCGAAUACUGCUAUCAUGGUUUUACUAGCUGUAGAGACCACAGAUGUAAAUACAUUUGCGAUGUAUGUAAUGCACCUGAUUGUCAUAAAUACGUUGGCAAAACGAGGCAAUGUCACGAUUGUUUGCGGUACUGCAGAUCAGCCUACUGUUACAAUGCGCAUAAACAAAUGCAAACAGGACAACAGUACGUUCAGUGUGAUGUCACUAAAUACUGUCAGAAAUGUAAUGGGCGAUAUCACGUCAACGGAGCCGCACCCAAAAACGUGUGCCCUGCAGAACACUGUGUCCAUUGUAAAGCUGAAUUGGUUAAUGACUGAGUACACCAAUGUUUCAUACAACCGAUGAAAAUGGAACCACCUAGCGACAAAUACAUUUAUGAUUGUGAGACACAACACACAGACGGUAAACGCGUUACAAAUUUCGUAUGCGCCAUUACAUUUAAAGGGGAAGAGUUCACAGCCGCUGGUACAGACUGUAUAGAUCAACUUGUUAAAAGUUUAGAGAGCCUCAUUAUUAGGUUUACACAUGGGUUGCACACAGCGCUUCAGGGUUUGACAAUUUUAUACUAUCAGAAUAUUUUGCAAAAGCAGGGCUAACGCUCCAAAUUACUAUGCAUUUUAAUGUAUGAUAAGACAUUCAAGCAACAUUUCAUCGAUAGCUACUCUUUCAUCCCUAUGUGUCUGUCCAUGACAUCUGCCGUGUUAACCUGUGCUGAGAGCUCACUUUCCACAUCUGUUCAAUAGAAUAGAAAAUGAAGACUACGUAGGCCCAUACCCUGACGAGCAUUUCUUCGGCUAUGAGACAAUGUCUGACAAAGCAAAGAGGGCUCUGUUUGAGUGGUAUGUUACGUUGUCGGGUAAGGUUUUUGAUUUAAAAAAAGAGCUCGCCAUGUACGGCAAGAACGAUGUAGUUUUGCUCCGUGAGGCAUGCAUGAAGUACCGUGACGAAUUCAUACAAUGUACCAAACUCGACCCAUUCAGAUAAACCACUUCAGCAGCAUGCUGCAUGGCCGUGUAUAAAACCCACUACUUAGCAAAAGACACACUAGCUCUGACCCAUAACGAUGCAUACACAAAUCAGAACAAGACGUACUCAGCCGUUUCCAUUGAAUGGCUUGAAUGUCAAAACAUGCGUGUGAACAUUUUAACACACUUUAAAUCAUGGAGAGAUGGUGAUUGUAAAAUAUCAUCUCAAUGGUUAUUAUGAAAAGGAUGGUGUCAAAUACGGUUUCGAAUUCAACGGAUGCAUGUUUCACGGGCAUGAAUGUCGUUAUAACCCAAACCAUUUGCAUCCAUUAUCAAAAGUGCCGUACAGUUUGCUCAGAAGACAGUUUGAUGAUCAGGUCGAAAUUUUGGAAAAGGCGUAUGGUCUCGAUGUUGAGGUGAUGUGGGAAUGUGAUUGGAAUAAUGCUAAACAGAACGAUGUCGCUAUAAUGGCAUUUAUUUCCACUUGCACACAUCCUGAAUGAUUGAAAUCGUGCAACACACUAUAUGGUGGUCGCACUAACGUGUACAAAUUGUAUCACAAAGCCGACAAUAGUGAAAAAAUACAAUAUGUCGACUUUACAAGUUUGUACCCCUUUUGCCGGGCCAAAAAAGUUACCCCAUAGGGCAUCCGCAAAUAAUUUUCAAGGAUUUUGAACCUCUUAAAUUAUUAUGGGUUUGUCAAGGCUACAGUACUGCCACCACGAAAACUGCUUCACCCUGUCCUUCCCUAUAGGACCGGUGGUAAGCUUGUUUCCACUUUAUCGUACAUGUGCCGAACAUCAGAAUCAGACAGACCCAUGUCGUCAUACUGAUGAGGAAAGAGCUAUUUCAGGGUGUUGGUUCAGCAUAGAGCUGUUGAAAGGUGUGGAGAUGGGUUAUAUUGUAACAAACGUGGACGAGGUGUGGCAUUUUCCACAACGGUCAAACUUUGUUUUAUGAUUGUUAAAACAUUUUUACAAUAUAAACAGAGGCCAGCGGUUUCCCCGCACAUGUUAUGACAGACGCAGACAAGGAAUCCUACAUCUCAGACUACUUUGAGAAAGAGGGGAUUAAGAUGGACGCUGGUAAGAUAAGUCGCAACCCAGCACGCCGUUCUAUUAACAAACUUCUGCUGAACUCACUUUGGGGUCGUUUCUCCAUGCGUGAAAACUUGCCGUGUACGGAGUUAAUUUUGGACCCGGAACAAUUUACACAGCACAUAUUCGGUGACGGUUAUAAUGUUCAACACUUUUCCUUCGUUUCAGACAGCGUGGCUCUAAUUCAGUGGUGUUAUGUGGAUGGUAAAGGGGGGCAGACUCGCGACAUCAACAUCUUUCUUGCGGCUUUCACAACAGCUCAUGCCCAUCUAGAACUUUACGAAUUAAUGGACAAAUUGGGUGACCGGCUGUUGUACAGUGACGCAGUGUGAUCUUUACAUCUAGCGAGGGCGAAUGGGAACCUUCGUUGGGCCCUUAUCUCGGUAAUUUAACUGACGAGUUUGGAGCUGGUGAUCAUAUUGUAGAAUUUUGUUCAGGCGGACCAAAAAC